CAUCACUACGCUAGAUGCAUAUCAAUAAGCGGAGGAAAAGAAACUAACAAGGAUUCCCCUAGUAACGGCGAGUGAAGCGGGAAGAGCUCAAAUUUGAAAUCUUAAAGGGUUUCCCUUUACGAAUUGUAGUUUAAAGAAGUGUUUUCUGUUGGAGUUUCGGUAAAAGUUCUUUGGAAUAGGACAUCAUAGAGGGUGAGAAUCCCGUAUUUGACCGUUACUUUCCAGCUGUGUGAUACACUUUCAAAGAGUCGGAUUGUUUGGGAAUGCAGUCCAAAAUGGGUGGUAAAUUUCAUCUAAAGCUAAAUAUUGGCGAGAGACCGAUAGCGAACAAGUACCGUGAGGGAAAGAUGAAAAGAACUUUGAAAAGAGAGUUAAACAGUACGUGAAAUUGUCAAAAGGGAAGCGUUUGACACCAGUGUUGUUUAGUUGAAAAUCAAUUCAAUAUUUUUCGAUUUUAAGUAGUAUUGACUUCAUCAGCUUGCUGCUUUCUUUCUCGGAAAUUAUUUAAUGCACUUUUCAGUUAACAAGUCAACAUCAAUUUCUUUUGUUGUAAAAGGGUAAGAGGAAGGUGGCUUACGCUUCGGCGUCAAGUGUUUAUAGCCUUUUACCCUCUGCAAUCGGAGAGAUUGAGGAUCAGCAGCGUAGACUCCUUCGGGGUUAGAUACACUUGUGCUAAGCUAUAGCCUUGUAUAGACAACUUGUUGACUAUGCUCAGUCAUGUAGCUUACUCGCUUAUGCUAUUUUACCUACGCUUAGGAUGUUGAUAGUCACAGCGUGUAC
Molecule: ribosomal RNA, 780 nt
Filed under: uncultured Neocallimastigales
Lineage: Eukaryota; Fungi; Neocallimastigomycota; Neocallimastigomycetes; Neocallimastigales
Description: partial large subunit ribosomal RNA
Rfam family: Eukaryotic large subunit ribosomal RNA
Source: RNAcentral